AUUGAACGCUGGCGGCAGGCCUAACACAUGCAAGUCGAGCGGUAGAGAGAAGCUUGCUUCUCUUGAGAGCGGCGGACGGGUGAGUAAUGCCUAGGAAUCUGCCUGGUAGUGGGGGAUAACGUCCGGAAACGGACGCUAAUACCGCAUACGUCCUACGGGAGAAAGCAGGGGACCUUCGGGCCUUGCGCUAUCAGAUGAGC
RNAcentral lists this ribosomal RNA (200 nucleotides) under uncultured bacterium. Its description in RNAcentral is "partial 16S ribosomal RNA". It matches the Rfam family "Bacterial small subunit ribosomal RNA", at positions 30 to 230 of the family's 1533-position model. The record is from RNAcentral.